This 2909-nucleotide long non-coding RNA is filed under the name Mytilus galloprovincialis (Mediterranean mussel). The record is from RNAcentral. Lineage: Eukaryota; Metazoa; Mollusca; Bivalvia; Mytilida; Mytilidae.
CUUGCUUUAUAUCUAGUAUGCUAUUUCUUGUUUUCAUUAGAGGUUAUAAGUGAGUUACUUCACUUGUUAUUGUUCAUUUUAGAUAAUUUUGAAUGCUUUUGGAAUAUGCUAAAUUGUUAUUGAAGUGUCCAGUUUUGGGGGAAGAUGCAUUAAAAAUCUCCUUUACAACUGUUUUUUUCAAUCCCAAGAUACUGUUGUUCUUUCUGCAAUAAGUCAAAGGUCAUAAGUAAGGUAGAUAACCCUUGCUGAAGAAUGUCAAGGAGGGUGAGUAGAUUAAUAAAAAACAUGAUGUAAAUAUAAAAAAGAAGAUGUGGUAUGAUUGCUUAUGAGACAACUUUCCACAAGAGAUCAAAAUGACACAGAAAUUAACAGCUAUAGGUCACUGUACGGCCUUCAAGGUUAUUAUUACAUUAUCAGCUGAAUUGGUUAGUAUACAGGGAUGAAAAAAUUGACAUAAACCAAGGGCAGUGUUAUCUUUCCUAAGAUUUCAAAGUUGUGGGAUUUUGCCUGAGUAUUAUCAUUGAAGAUAUGUUUUUGAACACUUAUUUGUUAUAUAUGUACAUUUUAGUACUCUAGUUCUAUAUUCAUUUUAGUAUUACAGACUUGUAUACUCUUAUUUCACCAGUAGAUUAUGUUUGAAUUUUAGGCGCUUUUUUUUUUUUAUAUAAGAAUGCACUUGGAUUUUUUUUUAAAUUAUUAUACAAAUGAAAAUGUAAAAGACCCUAGUGACUUUCAUUUACUGAAACAAAUCAGUCAUAUCAUUGAUAUUAAUGAUGAUCCAAAAGGCUUUAUCUAUCCGCUGUAUUAUAAAACAUCUACUUGAGGUAGAUCAUAAAGUUUAUAUGAUAGGUAUUUUUCAAUAUCACACUUUUAUUGUGUCUUAAUUUACUUAAAAUUGUUUUUUCAUUUUCAACAAGCAACUGUUGAGGUAUAAUUCAACAUGAUAUACUUUGUGUAUUUCUAUUGUUAUUGUCUCAUUUUGAAGGCCAUUUAGAAAGCCUUCAAAUCAAAUUAUAAUAAAAAUGUUAAGAAUUUUCAUAUUUCAAAAUUGUAUAAGAAUGACCGUCUUUUUAAAAAAAAGAUAAUUAUUGCAAUUGUAACUUUGUGACAUGGAUAUGUUUAUUGUUUGAAUCAGAACUGUCAAUGAAUAUUAUCAUGUCUUGUGUACAAUAUUAAAUUUUAGUUGGGGGCAAGUUUUAUUUCCCUUUAUUGGUUAGGUGUAGUAUUAUAUGUUGUAUACUGAAAAUUACUAAAGGGAACAUAAUGUCAUUUAUAAGGCAUAAUGGAAGCCUUUAAAUGGCAGUUUUACAUCCUGAAAUUAUGUUUAAAUCUAUUGACCUUUACUCUCUUCAAUUAACUCAAGUCCUUUGCACAUUUUGUUAUCAAAAUCAUAGAUCAUUUUAUUUGUUUACCCAUUUGUUAAGCUUUGCACGUUUUUAAGAGUCAUUGUGUAAUUUAUGUUCAUACAAGAUAUAUUUUUGUUGUACAAUGUGAUAUGUAUAGAUCAAAAUUUUGCUUUUAAUUUCACACAUGUUUUCAAAACUUGUUUGAAUUGUUUUACAUUGUCUUAUCGGGGCCUUUUAUAGCUGACUAUACGGUAUGGGUUUUGCUUAUUGUUGAAGGCCGUACGGUGACCUAUAGUUGUUUUAAAAUGUCUGUUUCAUUUUGGUCUUUUGUGGAUAGUUGUCUCAUUGGCAAUCAUACCACAUCUUCUUUUUUUUUUUAUAUAUUAGUCACUAUUUAAUGCAAAUAGCAUCCUUGUUUCAACCAAAAUCAUACUUGUGUUUACCUUAUUAAAUUCCAUGUGAUCAAUACUAUGAUAAACCUAUCAAAAGCUGUUUUGAAAAUUAUCUUGUUUACAUCAGAUACCUCAAUAUAUAGCAGCUGUUUGAUAGAAGUCUGCAAAAUCUUAGUUUAAUUGCUUGAAUUUUCUGUUUCUCCUAUAUAUGGAAGUCAGUACUUAUAAAAAGCUCUAAAAAAGCAUUCAAGGUGAAAUGAUUGUUCACAAAAAAAUAGUUAAACUUGUAAUGCCGUACCAAUUAAAUCUUCAUUUACAAAUAACUUUGAAAGGAUUAUAAAAAGCAACUCUAAAACUAAAUUAAUGAAAAUUAAAAAAAAAAAUAUAGUAGAAUUUACUGAUACUGUAAAAGACCUGAAACAUUUGCUUAUGUCAUAAAAAGGCCCCAUAUGUUGAACUUUCAUUACACAUGGUGGAAAGAAACUAUAUCAAAGAAUAUUUUAUUCAGAAUACUAUGUAAACAAGAAUAAGAAUUUUGAUAUUUUUUUAACAUUUUUUAUUUAAGUUUCCAUGAAAAUAUGUUGCAUAACAUUUGAAUAACCCAGACUAUUUUCUUCUUUUGUUUGUUUAUGACUGAGAGUCAAAUAAGUAGAAAUUCGGAUCCACUUAUUCAACAAAUUCACAUUUACCUCUUGAAUAAUGAAUAUCAAGGAAGAAUUUGGAAAUUUUCUUUAAUUUAAAAAUUGUUUAAUAGACAUUUUGAAGGUUUAUACAAUAAAUUUCUCUUAAAUGUUAACACAAUAUGUUGGUGAAAUAUUUAACCUAGACAUAAUUUCCAGUGCAUGGUAUUGGAAUUGUAAAUAUAGAGUAUUAUGAAGACAUUCACCAACAAAUUCAUAAUACAGUCCUUUGGACUUCAAAUUAUGAGUGAGCAGAGUUUACACACAAAUAAUCUACUUCAAAAUACUCUUCAUAACCAUAAUUAUUGUAAUAAGGAUGUGAACUGUUUCCAUGGCUUAAAUUAUAUAUACCAGUUAUUGUUGUCAUACUGUAGGUGCCAUUAUUGUUAAUGUUAACAGACUGACCAGUUGUUUUGUUAAUUAUGUGUUAACAGUCUGGUUGUGAGAGUUAACAUGAUAGAUUGUUGUGUAAUAAAUGCUUUAAAUGCAAA